This 1280-nucleotide ribosomal RNA is filed under the name Cordyceps javanica. RNAcentral describes it as "partial large subunit ribosomal RNA". It matches the Rfam family "Eukaryotic large subunit ribosomal RNA", at positions 87 to 1400 of the family's 3401-position model. The record is from RNAcentral. Lineage: Eukaryota; Fungi; Ascomycota; Sordariomycetes; Hypocreales; Cordycipitaceae.
CGGCGAGUGAAGCGGCAACAGCUCAAAUUUGAAAUCUGGCCCUCGGGUCCGAGUUGUAAUUUGUAGAGGAUGCUUUUGGCGAGGUGCCUUCCGAGUUCCCUGGAACGGGACGCCAUAGAGGGUGAGAGCCCCGUCUGGUCGGACACCGAGCCUCUGUAAAGCUCCUUCGACGAGUCGAGUAGUUUGGGAAUGCUGCUCAAAAUGGGAGGUAUAUGUCUUCUAAAGCUAAAUAUUGGCCAGAGACCGAUAGCGCACAAGUAGAGUGAUCGAAAGAUGAAAAGCACUUUGAAAAGAGGGUUAAAAAGUACGUGAAAUUGUUGAAAGGGAAGCGCCUAUGACCAGACUUGAGCCCGGUGAAUCAUCCAGCGUUCUCGCUGGUGCACUUUGCCGGGCCCAGGCCAGCAUCAGUUUGGCGCGGGGGAUAAAGGUGACGGGAAUGUGGCUCCCUCGGGAGUGUUAUAGCCCGCUACGUAAUACCCUGCGCCGGACUGAGGUACGCGCAUUGCAAGGAUGCUGGCGUAAUGGUCAUCAGCGACCCGUCUUGAAACACGGACCAAGGAGUCGUCUUCGUAUGCGAGUGUUCGGGUGUCAAACCCCUACGCGUAAUGAAAGUGAACGCAGGUGAGAGCUUCGGCGCAUCAUCGACCGAUCCUGAUGUUCUCGGAUGGAUUUGAGUAAGAGCAUACGGGGCCGGACCCGAAAGAAGGUGAACUAUGCCUGUAUAGGGUGAAGCCAGAGGAAACUCUGGUGGAGGCUCGCAGCGGUUCUGACGUGCGAAUCGAUCGUCAAAUAUGGGCAUGGGGGCGAAAGACUAAUCGAACCUUCUAGUAGCUGGUUUCCGCCGAAGUUUCCCUCAGGAUAGCAGUGUUGAACUCAGUUUUAUGAGGUAAAGCGAAUGAUUAGGGACUCGGGGGCGCUAUAUUGCCUUCAUCCAUUCUCAAACUUUAAAUAUGUAAGAAGCCCUUGUUACUUAAUUGAACGUGGGCAUUCGAAUGUAUCAACACUAGUGGGCCAUUUUUGGUAAGCAGAACUGGCGAUGCGGGAUGAACCGAACGCGAGGUUAAGGUGCCGGAGUGGACGCUCAUCAGACACCACAAAAGGUGUUAGUACAUCUUGACAGCAGGACGGUGGCCAUGGAAGUCGGAAUCCGCUAAGGACUGUGUAACAACUCACCUGCCGAAUGUACUAGCCCUGAAAAUGGAUGGCGCUCAAGCGUCCCACCCAUACCUCGCCCUCAGGGUAGAAACGAAGCCCUGAGGAGUAGGCGGACGUGGAGGUCA